This 314-nucleotide ribosomal RNA is filed under the name uncultured bacterium. RNAcentral's name for it is "partial 16S ribosomal RNA". It matches the Rfam family "Bacterial small subunit ribosomal RNA", at positions 499 to 807 of the family's 1533-position model. The record is from RNAcentral.
UUAUAAGAGACAGCAGCAGCCGCGGGAAUACGGAGGGUGCAAGCGUUAUCCGGAUUUAUUGGGUUUAAAGGGUCCGUAGGCGGACUUAUAAGUCAGUGGUGAAAGCCUGUCGCUUAACGAUAGAACUGCCAUUGAUACUGUAAGUCUUGAGUAUAUUUGAGGUAGCUGGAAUAAGUAGUGUAGCGGUGAAAUGCAUAGAUAUUACUUAGAACACCAAUUGCGAAGGCAGGUUACCAAGAUAUAACUGACGCUGAGGGACGAAAGCGUGGGUAGCGAACAGGAUUAGAUACCCCUGUAGUCCCUGUCUCUUAUAC